UAUGUACAUUUUCACGCUCCGUAUUAGUGUGUAUAAUUAAUAGACAAGGCAUAUAUCUAAAAAGUAUGUGUGUGACCCCAGUAGUCUGCAGUACUACUGUUCUUGAAUGAAAAUUGGAUUUUCUUUCUCCCCAGGUCUAAGGAGUCUUAUGCGCAUGUGUGCUGUGUCUUGCCAGGCAGUUGGCACAUGCGCAGUUAGGUUCCUGGGAACCAUGUGUUGGGGUGGCACCCGGCCGUGAGCUCCGCAAGGCACGGGUCACACUGGGUGAUGCCCUAAGGGCUGUCUGUGGUCAGUGAUCAAUAAUUAUCGAGUCAUGCAGAAGUACAGGUGGCGAGGAUUCCCAAUGUCCCGGCUCCCACUUGGUCCGGGUCCGUAUCUUUCUGCUCCCAGCUUGUCCCACCGGGUGCAGAGGGCGCCGGCCUGGGUCAGGUGCUGCGCGCAGCCAGGGAGUGACACGGGCAGCGCGGUGGUCAUGCUGCCUGCAAAGUGCUCAGAGGACAGCGUGGGCCUAGGUCUGCCUGGCUGACCCCAAACCCCGUGAACUGAUGGCAUGGCACCUUUCUAAAGGAGAAAAGUGCAAAGUAAUUCUGUGAAAACCCAGGACUGUGCUGAUCUAGUUCGGAUCCGGGAGAUGGGAUAUUGCUGUCCCCUGCGUUUUUCCUGGAAGAUGACAACAUGACGGAACCGAGGCUCUGCCAAGCUAGAGCCAGGGGACAGUGGCCGCCGGUGCUCUGCGCUGAAGUGGUUUUGGAAUCUCUCGAAGAGCCCUGGAGAGGGUCUGAGGAGAUUGGCCCAGGCCUGUACAGAGCCUUGCUGAAGCUCCCGUCCCUCAUACCCAGGCCCCACAGCACAGAUGACCACACCCCAGUUGUACGCCCCCACCUGCGAGGCAGAGACAGAAGGCCACAGCCUGCUGCACCUAUAGACCUGCUGCUCAAGGGACACUAUGUCCAUUCUGCCACCAACCAGCAGGUGCCAGGGCUGGCAAUUGAUUUCCAAUCAGGAGACAUUUCAGCUGGUGAACAAGUGCAAAUUAAAAAUAUUAGUAAUACAAAUCGGUUCAUUCACGAUGAAACACUGUGAAGUGUGUACAUUGAGUGCUUGGAGUACUUUGUGGAUAUGGGAAGCAUGUCAGGACAUGGGACAGGAACCUGGUCAGAGUCAGGGCAGGGAGGGCUGGAGGGCAAUUCGUGUCUCUAGGGUGCACAAGGGAAUGCUGUGUGGCCUGCGAGAGGCCAGGCCUGGUUUCUCCUUUGGCUCCCACAUCCUCCCUCCGUUAGCCCCAGUAAGACAAGGGCUGCGACAGGAGGAGCCAAAGCCACACAAACUUCAAUGAAGCAGUAACAAACGCACCACGGUGCACUAACCUGUGUUAGUUAGUUAGUGCCAUUACAGAGGAACAACUUUGCCUUCUUUCAGAACUGCGCUUUCAACUUUUCUGUUGUAAUUAUUUCAUUUAUUCCAAGAUCUCCCCAUACUGGUGGAUUUCUGUUUGUUUUGCCAACACUGAUCAUGCAUUACCUUUUACUCUGAGUUUAUCUGUGACUGACGGUUUGGUCCAGGAUGGAGAGUGGGGCAUCUCCACAUAGGGCUUUUUUUCAAGGUAUUUGACUUGGGCCCAAACUGCGUCCUUUCCAGGUGAGCCCCUCAGAAGUGCAGCAUUUGGGUCUUUGCUGAACACGAAGCGGAUUCCUAGAAAACAAGCAGGCAUUGAUUUGUGUUCAUUGAUGUGCUUUUACUAACUGACAGGAAGUGUGUUCUGAACACCUCUCCCCCAACCAUUCCACUCCAAUAAGCCACUGAGUUUGAUCAUUUCCAGCAUACGUGCCCUGCCACUCCUAUGAGAGAAGGGACAGCCUCCCUGGCCACCCCACUACAUGGUGGCAUUUCCUGCAGUGGCACCUACAUCCUGGCCUCCCAGCACCUCUGAUGUGGGGAGGCCUGAAGGAGACAGGGGCCACGAUGAGUUCCUUGAGCCAUUCUCUGUCUUUAAACAGAGAUUUAGCUAGAAAUAAGCUUGCCAGAGACUGUAUACUCACCCAGUAUACAUGCAAGGCAAGUUUGGGGGGGAAGAUUAUUGUGAAAUGGGGAGACUGAAUCACACUGUCCCCCGCUCCCAGCCAGCGAUUACUCCUCUGAAGUCUUAGCCCAUCAGCCACCAUCCAGGAUUCCAAGCUCCUGUCACUGUCUGCUCAGACACCGAGACCUAGAGGCACAGGGUGUUCAGGAGACAGGCAGACGGCAGGCUGGGGUGCUGUGGUGUGGAUGGGACUAGAAAGGCCUCUUGGGGCUGUUCAUUCCCACCUGGCCUCUAAACACUGGAGAGAUGUGGACCUGGGAGAAAGUCAUUUUCUGAGCGACGUUCUUGUGCAUCAAAAGAGGCUUCUGGGGACUUAUUUCUGCCACUUUUUAUUUGCUUGCUUGGUUGUUUUAAAAUCAACAGAGUCCAAAGCACUAUCAGUUUCACCGUAAGAGGAAACAGGCGAAACCGUAACACUGCUAAGGCAUCCAUAGCCUUCUGCUGUGUUUCCUUUGGGAAUAUUUUCUCUGAGCAUCAUUUUUCCAUUGCUAUACGUUACUACCGUUUUACUUAACCCACAGUGCAUACUUCAGUCUCUUUAGCGUUAUUUUUUUAUUCCAAGGCCAUUAUCUCUAAUGGCUGCCCAGCGCGCUGUCCAGUGUGUGCACCACAGUUUAAUGCUCCUUGCCGACAGAGGUUGUAUCAGGUCUGCGUGGAGCUGCUCCGGGCAUCUCCUGCAGGACAUCGGUGGAGCCCUGAAACCCCUGAAGCUGGAUUUCUUUGGUUAGUUUCCCCUCUAUGUGGUUCCCCUGUUCCCUCACAACAAGUUUUGUUUUGUUGGCAAUAAACCAAGUUAUGAAACUAUCUGAAGCUUUGCGAGAAUCUUGCCUGCCAUUUUCCCCAGCGUGACCUCAGUGACUGCGAUUCCCUUUUCCGAAUUCGCGUAUGAGAGACAAACUUGCCCCACAGAGACGGGAUUUGGGUCUUUGCUGAAGGACCACUGUGACAUCUGGGUGGCUCUCCCUUCUGUGCCAGUGGCCUCGGAUGUCUCUGAAAGCCUGCCUGAAACGAAAAUGGCACUUUUAUAGCUGGGGACGUGCCUGUCCAGAGAACGUUUAAUCAGAGGUGGCUUCUCCCGGCUGAGGCGGGCAGCAGUCUGUAACUGUAGAGUCCUGCUAAUGCACUCUUCUGCCGGGAAGCGGGGUGGGGCAGGGAGCGGGGAGAAGCCAUUAACACCCGGAGGUCAGCGCUGCUGAUGCUGCCUUUUGUUUGCAGCCUCCAAAUGAAGGCUGCUUCUGUGCUUUCCCGUUGCCUCCACCUAAACACACUCUUGGGUCAUCUCACUCCGGUCACAUCUUUUGACAAUUAGCCACCCAUUAACAGGGUGAUUGAAAAGGAGCCAGCGUGGUUUACACAUAAAGUGCUUACGCUUUUCCAGGAAGAAGCAUCUCUGCAGUUUCAUUAAUGCUUUGGCCCAUGAGCACACAAAGUAAAAGACGAUACUCUAGCAAGCACACAGGGAAGAGAGUGGGGCAGGAAGGCAGAGAAUUAAAGAGCGAAAAAGAACCCUGGCAGGUUUUUCUUCUUUUUUCUUCUGCUUUUUUGCUUUAAAGAGCAGGGUAGGCGUUAUCUGCCUUUAUCUGUUCCCACCUCUAAAGCCAGCAUUACCAGUCAUUUUGCUUCUGCUUUACUGUUAUUAUCUGGGUGAUGGCUGUGACAUGUUGAUCAUAUAUGGCAGUGAGAAAAUUGAUUUCCCUCAACAGAAAUGCUUCCAAUUUUCCCAGGGCCAUAAUUUUAUGUCCACAACAAAAUAAAAGGGUCAUUUUCCUUAAGAUGAGGGGAAUUGAAAUCUCUGAUAAAAGCUAUGGUAAAUGUUGUACUUUUGGUGGCGGAAACUGCAGUUUCACAAACAUCUGGCCUGACUGAUUUGGGAGUGUGGGCUGGGGGCAGAGGAAAGGGAUUUGAGGGCAAAGAAGUGUUAUUUUUC
Molecule: long non-coding RNA, 4007 nt
Organism: Cavia porcellus (domestic guinea pig)
Lineage: Eukaryota; Metazoa; Chordata; Mammalia; Rodentia; Caviidae
Exons: 3
Source: RefSeq, a predicted model, not a curated record